AUUGAACGCUGGCGGCAUGCCUUACACAUGUAAGUCGAACGGCAGCACGGGAGCAAUCCUGGUGGCGAGAGGCGAACGGGUGAGUAACAUAUCGGAACGUGCCCAGUCGUGGGGGAUAACGUAGCGAAAGCUACGCUAAUACCGCAUACGAUCUAUGGAUGAAAGCGGGGGAUCGCAAGACCUCGCGCGCUUGGAGCGGCCGAUAUCAGAUUAGGUAGUUGGUGAGGUAAAGGCUCACCAAGCCGACGAUCUGUAGCUGGUCUGAGAGGACGACCAGCCACACUGGGACUGAGACACGGCCCAGACUCCUACGGGAGGCAGCAGUGGGGAAUUUUGGACAAUGGGCGCAAGCCUGAUCCAGCAAUGCCGCGUGCAGGAUGAAGGCCUUCGGGUUGUAAACUGCUUUUGUACGGAACGAAACGGUGAGCUCUAAUACAGUUUGCUAAUGACGGUACCGUAAGAAUAAGCACCGGCUAACUACGUGCCAGCCGCCGCAGUAA
RNAcentral lists this ribosomal RNA (500 nucleotides) under uncultured bacterium. RNAcentral describes it as "partial 16S ribosomal RNA". It matches the Rfam family "Bacterial small subunit ribosomal RNA", at positions 30 to 523 of the family's 1533-position model. The record is from RNAcentral.